CGCAGUGUAGCUCAGAGGAUAGAGCCCUUGGUUUCUAGGUAUAUAGUGGAUUUAGCAUUUUCACUCAUACCGCUGAGGAGGUCGUAGGUUCAAGUCCUACCACUGCGU
RNAcentral lists this transfer RNA (108 nucleotides) under Novosphingobium aureum. It matches the Rfam family "tRNA". From Rfam's summary of the family: Transfer RNA (tRNA) molecules are approximately 80 nucleotides in length. Their secondary structure includes four short double-helical elements and three loops (D, anti-codon, and T loops). Further hydrogen bonds mediate the characteristic L-shaped molecular structure. tRNAs have two regions of fundamental functional importance: the anti-codon, which is responsible for specific mRNA codon recognition, and the 3' end, to which the tRNAs corresponding amino acid is attached (by aminoacyl-tRNA synthetases). tRNAs cope with the degeneracy of the genetic code in two manners: having more than one tRNA (with a specific anti-codon) for a particular amino acid; and 'wobble' base-pairing, i.e. permitting non-standard base-pairing at the 3rd anti-codon position. Lineage: Bacteria; Pseudomonadati; Pseudomonadota; Alphaproteobacteria; Sphingomonadales; Sphingomonadaceae. The record is from Rfam by way of RNAcentral.